AUAUAUAUAUAUAUAUAUAUAUGGGUAUAUAUUUAAAUUCCCAGUGAAGCUCUGGUCAGCUGCAGGCACUGAUACUCUAAAAUCCUGCGAGAUGUUAUCAGGCAGGGAUCCGUCACACACUUGAUAAGAUUAAUGCAGGGUAGUGAAAUAUUAGGGCUUGAUGGCUGAGACAUCUGGACUGCAUUUGGAUCAUGUUGUUGCUGGGAAUGGCAAGCGAUGAUGGGACAGCAGCGGGCUAAUGCAAUAUGGCAAAUACCAUUUCUCAACUUUGCUAAUAUGUGGUAGAUAAGAAGUGCCAGCCACGUUCAGUAUCUUUCCAAACUGCCUUUCCCAUCAUCCGUCUUCCAAGUGUCACAGAGGACUGCAGGCCGUCGUAAUUGAAGCAGUCUGAUUUGGGGGCUUUAAUAAGGAAGAAAUAAGGCACUGAGGCACCUUUUUAAGGGGAAAUGAGGGCAGGUUCAUGCAGGUCAGAGUCUGGUGGUAGAUGCCCCUUGAUAACCUGUUGUAAUUGUUGCUGAGCCAUUGGUUGAAGACGUUUUAGGGGGAAAAAGUCUGAUUGCUGUGUAUUUAGACAUUGUAUCUGAUGGGCUCCAGAGUGGCCCCGUGGUGACGUCCAAUAACAAAUACAUGAGCACGAUCCGCAGAGGAUCCUCAUUGUGCUGGGAUUAAUUACAGCCUACCUUGCUUACAUAAAUUCAGAGACUGUUCCCAAUUAUGGGGCACAUUUUUGCUUUUCUCUGUGGUAUCUGGCGUCAAACCUGACUCUGAAAGUAUGUUGAUGUUGUUGAGGUGGAACCAGCACAGUCUGUAGUCAAAGCUAGUUUUUUUUCUAUUUGCGUUGUCCAUUGAUGAGGAGGUUGUUUAUACUUCAGCUUGAAUCCCAGACCCCUCGACUCAGAUUAAUAAGCUCCUCAUGAAGUAGUCUGCAAGUGAUUUGCUCCAACUCCGAGUCCGAAAUCACACGUCCUGCGGGAAUAGAAAUAAUUUGCUGUUUGGGAGGGGAAACUGGAAUGUGAUUUCAAAACUGCCUCUUCAAAGACCAGUCAGCUCAGCCUUAAAUUAGAUAUACAGUAUGAUGUAUAGACUGGCGUUAAACACGAGUUAGGCCCUCAGCAGAAUGAUUUGAUUAUAUCUGCCAGGUUACAAAGUCUGAGGUCAUGCUUUUUCCAUUCUCUGAUGUUUUUGUCAUAUUUUUUUCAGGGCACAUGAGGAGAUGAAAUAAUGCAGCGCACAGCAGCUUUCUGCAGAUAAGGUUACAGCCUAUCUUCCCAUCCCAAUUAGAACCAGCUCUCCCUUACUGCACCAAAACUGAAUCAAGUAAAAUCGACGUGGCUCCAGGGAUGGCAGCGCUGCUCCGUUAGCCCCAACUUUUUGAUGGCUUGCCAUAAAAUUAUGCACAGAAAUUCAGGAUCCCCAGAGGAUGAAUCCUAAUAAGUUUCUCUGGCAGCACCACAUUUGUGAUGAAACGUCUCAAGGUUCAUUCAUUCACAUUAAAUUAGCUGAUUUCCUUUUCCUGCAGCGUCAUCGUGAGGAUGAAUUUGUCACCAGAUGGGUGUUUUCAAUGAAUCUCAAGUGGAAGACAGAGCAGCUCAUCGGCGUUUAUCUGAAGCGUGAACAAAUGUUUCGUAUGCAAAUGGAAUGAGCGGUUUCCCAGAGACUAUGGGUUGAGGAGGAAGUGGAAGUUUGUCGGCUUAGACCUAGUGUCAUUCAGUGUUUAACUUCCCGGCUCAUCUUGGAAGAGUACGUGCCAGAAAGACCACAACCAAUCAGCCUUGAGAUCUUAGGCAGUGUCUCUCUGAGGUCCCUCUCUAUCUCCCCACACAUCCACCAACCACUGGAACACAUCUCCAAAGUUCUGCCGGGCCAGCUCAGCUUCUCCUCAGAAGAAGUGCCGCCACCUGCCAGAUGAAGGAGCCUUUUGAGAGGCAGCUGGCAUCGUGAUUUGACUGUACUUUGGUCUGUUCCAAUCCAGCUUCAGCUCCAGAGACGGCAGGCGGGACGAGUCAACGGAGGCCGGGUGGACGAAGGUAUGCAGCUGAGUACAAUCCAGAAAACAACAGAGGAGGAGUGCAGCGGCCCAGGACCAGAACAAACAGAGUAGCAUCAUAUGUCUCUUAGAAAACAUCAUAGUAUAGCCUUUGGUAUGAAAAAACGCCAUCAUAUACAUCGUAUAUUGUACAAAUAACAAGUCUAAGGAAAGAGACAUACAUUGUAGAAUUGUACUAAUUGUCGGCUGACUGAUUUACUGAUUAUCAGUAUUUUUUACUGAUUUACGGUAAUAAAUACAUUUAAAAAUGGCGCUACUUUGGCUCUGAACCUUUAUCUACCUGUGGUCGCUCUGUCUUCUGGAGUGAUUUGAUUGGUUAUACGUCACGAAUAAAACUCCUUUAACAUCUGUAAACAAAACAAAAACGUAUCAACAAAGUUUUCUGUUAGAGUUUGUGUUCUUCUAAAUUUAACUUCAAGAUUUUAAAUACUUUCAUUUACUGCAAAAGAAUAUCUACUCCAAAUGCCUCACUAAUAAUCAUUAUCAGCCUUAAAAACCCACAAAACACCCCUCUAUACUUGACCACACUUAGUACAGUCCGGUUCCCCCUUCUAUAAAUCUGCUUGGAAUCUUCCACUUCCUGUUUGUCAAAGUGGCCUUCUACCUGGACAGGUUUUAUUGGAGCUCAUGCAACAAACAUUUUGGGUAACUGCACUUUAAUAUGGAUGGAUGACACUGAUUUAGAGUCUGUAUUAAUGAGACUGAGUUAAGAUGUGUAGCUGUCGUUAAAUAGUAAAUUAUUUCUCAGAAUUCACAGAGAAAAGUCUGAAAUGUUUGCUAGGUUAGCAUCCCACAUGUUCUUUGGCUCAGCUAAAGCUAACACUCUCCAACUUCUGGAUCUCUUGAGUUACUUGUUAAAAUAUCUUGCUGUAGGUGCUGAAGCUCAGAAAGUCUGAGAUGUUUGUUCAAAAUAAGCUCAUUCUCAAGUCUUAUCUGAACUGUCCUCUUUUGUUUGAACUUUCCCUAAACUUAGGAGUUAAUAACAGAGCAGCACAUCCAGACUCAGUCUCAUUUAUGUAGAGAUUAAACUUCAGUGUCAUUCAUUGAUGUUAAAGUGCAGUUUUUCAAAUUUUUGUUGCACCAAACCAGUCCAGGUGGAAGACGAUGUGAAGAGAAAGCUCCAGAGGAUGAAUAUCACACAUUUACGUUGGAAAUAAAUGUCCUUUAAUUUGAUAUUGUCAUGCAAAAGUUGAAUUUCCCUUUAAUGAUGUUCCAAUCUUUGUUGAGUGUUUUGUUGAUGUUGGUUUCUAAAUGUUUUUUGACACUCGGCCCCAAUGAUUAAAACCUUCUACGGCUCACAAGCUGCAACAAUUCACACAUUAUCAACUAUCUUUCUGACUAAACUAAGAUAAAAAGUGAAAAACUGUCUGAUUCUUGCAUCAUGAAUGUAAAUCUUUUUGGUUUUUAUGACAGUAAACUGAAUAUAUUUGGGCUUGACAUUUUAUAAACCAAAGCAAGAUAUGAAUUACUGGAGAAAACGACAGAUUAAUGGACAAAGAAAAUGUGUUUUCUAACAUAUAUGGCUGAAUUACUCCAACAUUACAAGAUACAUACAAUUUUAAUUCAAUUUUAUUUAUAUAACGCCAAUUACAGGUCAAAUUGUC
This is a long non-coding RNA of Amphiprion ocellaris (clown anemonefish), 3651 nucleotides long. RefSeq lists it as uncharacterized. The transcript is spliced from 3 exons. The record is from RefSeq and is a predicted model, not a curated record. NCBI's taxonomy places the organism in Eukaryota, Metazoa, Chordata, Actinopteri, Pomacentridae.